GACGAACGCUGGCGGCGUGCUUAACACAUGCAAGUCGAACGGAAAGGCCCUGCUUUUGUGCGGUUCUCGAGUGGCGAACGGGUGAGUAACACGUGAGUAACCUGCCCUUGACUGUGGGAUAACUUCAGGAAACUGGGGCUAAUACCCGAUAGGAUCUCCUGCUGCAUGGUGGGGGUUGGAAAGUUUCGGCGGUUGGGGAUGGACUCGCGGCUUAUCCGCUUGUUGGUGGGGUAGUGGCUUACCAAGGCUUUGACGGGUAGCCGGCCUGGGAGGGUGACCGGGCACAUUGGGACUGCGAUAGGGCGCAGAAUGCUACGGGAGGCAGUAGUCGGGAAUAUUGCAGAAUGGGCGGAAGCGUGAGGCAGAAACGCCGCGAGCGGGAUGACGGCCUUCGGGUUGUAAACCGCUUUCGCAUGUGACGAAGAGUGAGUGACGGUAAUGGGUAAAGAAGCACCGGCUAACUACGUG
This 468-nucleotide ribosomal RNA is filed under the name uncultured bacterium. RNAcentral's name for it is "partial 16S ribosomal RNA". It matches the Rfam family "Bacterial small subunit ribosomal RNA", at positions 28 to 507 of the family's 1533-position model. The record is from RNAcentral.